Molecule: long non-coding RNA, 209 nt
Organism: Sinocyclocheilus grahami
Lineage: Eukaryota; Metazoa; Chordata; Actinopteri; Cypriniformes; Cyprinidae
Exons: 3
Source: RefSeq, a predicted model, not a curated record
AACCGAAUAUAGCUAACGUUACAACAAACUGGAAAUGGCAAUCGAUACCAACACCUCUUGGAAAACAACACUUAUAAUCAGCACCUCACCUCAGUGUGAUGAAGCCUCGCAGAUUCUUGCAGCGCAGCAGCACAGGAUUCGCCGCUCGGACAACAUUCUGUCCUCUUCCUUUGUUUCCCCCUUGUCAGGUACAGCUUUUUUGCUUUUCA